GAUGAACGCUGGCGGCGUGCCUAAUACAUGCAAGUCGAGCGAACAGACGAGGAGCUUGCUCCUCUGACGUUAGCGGCGGACGGGUGAGUAACGCGUGGAUAACCUACCUAUAAGACUGGGAUAACUUCGGGAAACCGGAGCUAAUACCGGAUAAUAUAUUGAACCGCAUGGUUCAAUAGUGAAAGACGGUUUUGCUGUCACUUAUAGAUGGAUCCGCGCCGCAUUAGCUAGUUGGUAAGGUAACGGCUUACCAAGGCAACGAUGCGUAGCCGACCUGAGAGGGUGAUCGGCCACACUGGAACUGGGACACGGUCCAGACUCCUACGGGAGGCAGCAGUAGGGAAUCUUCCGCAAUGGGCGAAAGCCUGACGGAGCAACGCCGCGUGAGUGAUGAAGGUCUUCGGAUCGUAAAACUCUGUUAUUAGGGAAGAACAAAUGUGUAAGUAACUAUGCACGUCUUGACGGUACCUAAUCAGAAAGCCACGGCUAACUACGUG
Molecule: ribosomal RNA, 497 nt
Filed under: uncultured bacterium
Lineage: Bacteria
Description: partial 16S ribosomal RNA
Rfam family: Bacterial small subunit ribosomal RNA
Source: RNAcentral